This 253-nucleotide ribosomal RNA is filed under the name uncultured bacterium. RNAcentral's name for it is "partial 16S ribosomal RNA". It matches the Rfam family "Bacterial small subunit ribosomal RNA", at positions 524 to 776 of the family's 1533-position model. The record is from RNAcentral.
UACGUAGGGGGCGAGCGUUGUCCGGAGUUACUGGGCGUAAAGCGCACGCAGGCGGUCUGCUAAGUUUGGAGUGACAGUUGGUGGCUUAACUGCCAAAGUGCUUCGAAAACUGACAGACUUGAGGGCUUCAGAGGGACACGGAAUUCCGGGUGGAGUGGUGAAAUGCGUAGAGAUCCGGAAGAACACCGGUGGCGAAGGCGGUCCGCUGGGGUGUUGCUGACGCUGAGGCGCGACAGCGUGGGGAGCAAACAGG